Molecule: ribosomal RNA, 1435 nt
Filed under: uncultured marine bacterium
Lineage: Bacteria
Description: bacterial SSU rRNA
Rfam family: Bacterial small subunit ribosomal RNA
Source: RNAcentral
GAGUUUGAUCAUGGCUCAGAACGUACGCUGGCGGCACGCCUAACACAUGCAAGUCGAACGAAGUAGCAAUACUUAGUGGCAGACGGGUGAGUAACAUGUAGGUAUCUGCCCUUUGGCCUGGAAUAACACGAGGAAACUUGUGCUAAUACCGGAUAAGUCUUUACGGAGAAAGCUUUAUGCACCAUUGGAUGAGCCUGCACUUGAUUAGUUUGUUGGUGGGGUAAUGGCCUACCAAGACUGUGAUCAAUAGCUGAUUUGAGAGGAUGAUCAGCCACAUUGGGACUGAGACACGGCCCAAACUCCUACGGGAGGCAGCAGUGGGGAAUCUUGCACAAUGGAGGAAACUCUGAUGCAGCGAUGCCGCGUGAGUGAAGAAGGCCCUUGGGUUGUAAAGCUCUUUCGUUGGGGAAGAAAAUGACUGUACCCGAAUAAGAAGGUCCGGCUAACUUCGUGCCAGCAGCCGCGGUAAUACGAGGGGACCUAGCGUAGUUCGGAAUUACUGGGCUUAAAGAGUUCGUAGGUGGUUGAAAAAGUUAGUGGUGAAAUCCCAGAGCUUAACUCUGGAACUGCCAUUAAAACUUUUCAGCUAGAGUAUGAUAGAGGAAAGCAGAAUUUCUAGUGUAGAGGUGAAAUUCGUAGAUAUUAGAAAGAAUACCAAUUGCGAAGGCAGCUUUCUGGAUCAUUACUGACACUGAGGAACGAAAGCAUGGGUAGCGAAGAGGAUUAGAUACCCUCGUAGUCCAUGCCGUAAACGAUGUGUGUUAGACGUUGGAAAUUUAUUUUCAGUGUCGCAGGGAAACCGAUAAACACACCGCCUGGGGAGUACGACCGCAAGGUUAAAACUCAAAUGAAUUGACGGGGACCCGCACAAGUAGUGGAGCAUGUGGUUUAAUUCGAAGAUACGCGCAGAACCUUACCAACACUUGACAUGUUCGUCGCGACUCUAAGAGAUUAGAGUUUUCGGUUCGGCCGGACGAAACACAGGUGCUGCAUGGCUGUCGUCAGCUCGUGUCGUGAGAUGUUGGGUUAAGUCCCGCAACGAGCGCAACCCUCACUUUUAGUUGCCAUCAUUUAGUUGGGCACUCUGAAAGAACUGCCAGUGAUAAGCUGGAGGAAGGUGGGGAUGACGUCAAGUCCUCAUGGCCCUUACGUGUUGGGCUACACACGUGCUACAAUGGUAUCUACAACAGGAAGCAAGACUGCGAAGUUAAGCAAAUCCCUAAAAGAUACCUCAGUUCGGAUUGCACUCUGCAACUCGAGUGCAUGAAGCUGGAAUUACUAGUAAUCGUGGAUCAGCGUGCCACGGUGAAUGCGUUCCCGGGUCUUGUACACACCGCCCGUCACACCAUGGGAGUUGGUUCUACCUUAAGGCAAGGUUUCAAACCCUUGACCACGGUAUAGUCAGCGACUGGGGUGAAGUCGUAACAAGGUAACC